RNAcentral lists this ribosomal RNA (201 nucleotides) under Staphylococcus pseudintermedius. RNAcentral describes it as "partial 16S ribosomal RNA". It matches the Rfam family "Bacterial small subunit ribosomal RNA", at positions 1 to 196 of the family's 1533-position model. The record is from RNAcentral. Lineage: Bacteria; Bacillati; Bacillota; Bacilli; Caryophanales; Staphylococcaceae.
UUUAUGGAGAGUUUGAUCCUGGCUCAGGAUGAACGCUGGCGGCGUGCCUAAUACAUGCAAGUCGAGCGAACAGAUAAGGAGCUUGCUCCUUUGACGUUAGCGGCGGACGGGUGAGUAACACGUGGGUAACCUACCUAUAAGACUGGAAUAACUCCGGGAAACCGGGGCUAAUGCCGGAUAACAUGUUGAACCGCAUGGUUC